Camelus dromedarius (Arabian camel) is the source of this 3152-nucleotide RNA transcript. It is a transcript of the gene named t-complex 11 family, X-linked 2, with no coding region annotated. The record is from RefSeq and is a predicted model, not a curated record. NCBI's taxonomy places the organism in Eukaryota, Metazoa, Chordata, Mammalia, Artiodactyla, Camelidae. The transcript has 12 exons.
GAGAGGCAGAGGGGCUUCACUAACAGACACAACCGCUGGCCGAGAACUGGAAGGAGUUCCAGAUACCAUCAAGAUGCCCAAGAUUGAAAAAACCGUGCUCCAAAAUGAUCCCAAUGAAGCAGAGAGUGGAGCCCGUAAGCCUAAAACACCAGGGCAGAGUCAGGAAAACAAGAGCUUCUGUUUAGAUGACCACUCUCCUGAGAGUCAACAUGAAGUUCUUUCUGUCACAGAUCUGAUAGAGACAGUUAACGAAGUUUCUAAGCUUAGCAUUGCUCAUGAAAUCGUGGUAAAUCAAGAUUUUUAUGUGGAAGAGAGUGUAUUACCUCCCAACAGUCUUGAAGGCAGGAUUAUGGAGAUGAUGUACAAUGCUUUUUGGGACCAUCUGGAAGACCAGCUAUCAAGUAUUCCCCCCGACUUCACUUGUGCUCUUGAACUUCUAAAAGAAGUUAAGGAGAUCUUGCUAUCGCUGCUAUUACCACGCCAGAACUACCUGAGAAAUGAGAUUGAAGAAGCCCUGGACAUGGAUCUCCUCAAGCAAGAAGCAGAGCAUGAGGCCCUGGAUGUUCCUCAUCUCUCUAACUACAUUCUCAAUUUGAUGAUCCGGCUAUGUGCACCAGUCCGAGAUGAAGCAGUGCAAAAACUAGAGAGCAUAACAGAUCCUGUGCAGUUACUGAAGGGUAUCUUUCAUGUUCUGGGCCUGAUGAAAAUGGACAUGGUGAACUAUACUAUCCAGAACCUUCGACCCUACCUGCAGGAACAUUCUGUCCAGUAUGAAAGAACUAAAUUCCAGCAACUCCUCAACAAGCAGCCCAGUCUCCUCGAUUGCACCACAAAAUGGCUAAUCAAAACGGCUAUAGAUCUCACUACACCAUCUCCAAGUUCUCCUGACUCUCCCAGAUCCUCCAGGAUGGCCUGUUCAUCUCCAAAUUGGGCAGCUAACAACUCAGAGCUUCCCAGUUCCACCAUGGUGCUGUAUGAGGGUUACGUGAACCUUCUUCUCUGGGAUUCUGACAUUGAAGAGUUUCCCGAGACUCUGCUGAUGGACAGAAUGCGGCUGCGGGAGAUAGAAUCCCAGUUGAACCAAUUAACGAUACUGGCCUCAGUCUUGUUAGUGGCCAGAAGUUUCUCUGGUAACAUUUUAUUCAGCACACCUAAGUUUUUGGAUAAACUAAAAUAUAUAACCAUGGCCCUGAUGGAAGAAUUUAACCCCAGGCCUGAAGAGGCUAUGGUGAGUGUGAGUGAACAAGUGUCUUAUGAAAUCCAUCAAGGCCUCAAAAACAUGGGCCUCACUGCCCUGAGUAGUGAAAAGACAGCAUCUCUUAUAGGCCAACUUCAGAACAUUGCCGAGAAAGAGAACUGUGUUCGUAGCAUUAUUGAUCAGCGGAGCCGCUUUUUUCUCAAAUGCUGUUUGGUUCAUGGUAUGCAGGAGUCUCUGCUGGACUUCCCUGGAGGCCUUAUUCUCAUCAAGGAAGAGUUGGCAGAACUGGGUUGGAAGUUUGUCAAUCUGAUGCAUCACAAUCAGCAGGUGUUUAGCCCCUACUACGAAGAAAUCCUGAAAGAUAUCAUCCCUCCAGCUCAAGCGCAAGAGAAAGAAGUGGAGUCUAUCUGAUAGUGCUGGACCCCGACUAUGGCAACAGGGACCCAGGAGAGGGCUCAGCAUGUUCCUGGGAUGACAUCACCUGUGGCCAGCAGAUCAGCCUCUUCCUCAAUAAAGCCCAGACACGGCUGCAGGGUUCAAGCAUGUAAACACCAACUGGCUCAGCCUCCUUCAUAAUAAACUGAGCUGCAAGAAAACCUCGAUUCCUUCUGUGUUGCAACUGAAUCCAGAUUCCGUUAAACGCUUAAACCCUACCAUGUAAGAAGCCAGUGAGCCCUCAGUUUUCCCUUCACUGGCUGAUCAUUCGUCAGUAUUCUGCUUGAGCAUCAGAGCAUCAGGUGCUAGCGUUACUUUCUCCAAUGGAAAAUCAUUUCCUUGAGGGCUAUGAAAACUUUUGGGGGAAUUUUCCAGAGUAUGAGUUCUGGAAGUGUAAGGGCUUCUGGAAGUCAGAAAUACACUGAGAUCAAGAGAGGCCAGAGAACCCCAUUUCCAGUACCAAAUUUUCCAUAUAAUUUAAAAAGAUGCAGUAACAGUAAGAGUCCCCACCUCCUGUUCUAGUGUGGGGCACGAAGCAGUAUGAAAACCGGGGACUGGAUGAAAGUCUGUAUUGUCUGCUAACAGGCAUUCAGCUGAGGACAGUUCUCAGCCUCAGCAGGAUUCCCCCCCACUGCCCCCUCUCUCUCCCCUGGGGGUCAGGUUUGGAAUAUCUGAGACUGACAGCAAAUCCAAGCCCUUAGGUCACUGACAUUUGUAUCAAGUUCAUCUCUGUUCCCAUUCCAUAGCUGAAUCAACCUCCUGUUUUCACAUUUUUAGGUUUAGAAUACCCCUUUCUUUUUGACAGAAGUGAUGUGGGUAUUCAAGGGUAGGGUAACCAUCAUGCUUCUUUCCACUUGCAGACUGAGACUCUAACUCCCAGGUUAUGAUUUUCAGCUCAGUUGGCAUCAAAAAUGACAGAUGUUCUAGGUCCACAAGGAUCUGGGCUUGUUUUCUGAAAUUGUAGAUAUUCAUCCUAUCAUUUUCAGGCCAACUGCAACAGACCAACAAUCUAGGAACUUAGGGAAGAAAGUCAGUUUUGAUUUGGACUUGUUUGAGAUCGACGGGAGAAAAUAGAAAUUCACUUGUGGGAUAUUACAACUGGAUGGAAAAAAUGUCUUCACCAUUUCACGGGAUGGAAAGAGCUGAGUAUGAUUUAUAUAAUCCAAGAAUGAUAACAGAUGGGAUUUGAGUUCCAUUACACUGAAGUUAAUGAAGAACACCUAGAGGUCACAGAACUCCGACCUUUGAAUUGAUCAGUGUCACAGAGCAUCCUCACGCAGCGGAGGCGCCAGGAGCCAUGAGGUGUGCCUUGGGCUUUAGGAUAGGACAAUGGUAAUAGUACCUAUUGUGAAAGAUCUGAUAAGGAUUGAAGCAGAUCAACUGACAAGUUCUCUCCACAGAGAAGCAGAUUGGUGACUUCAUAUCUGUCCCUCAGGUUUCCUUCCCCAUGUUCGUACCUGGGCUUGUCCCUACACACCAUGGCUUCUCGGGAACUAGCCACAUAAUAAUUACUGUUGAG